RNAcentral lists this long non-coding RNA (4965 nucleotides) under Brassica napus (rape). RNAcentral's name for it is "long non-coding RNA (BNAP_LNC023399)". Lineage: Eukaryota; Viridiplantae; Streptophyta; Magnoliopsida; Brassicales; Brassicaceae. The record is from RNAcentral.
AUGGAAGAUGGAUAGAUGAUGUUGGAUAGAUGAUGAUUGACUCUCUCAAUCCGUGGGUUUGAUUGACUCUCUCAAUCUGGAAUAACACUGGCUGUUGAAUCACACAAACAACCUAUGCUAGACGAAUCAAUAGAACACAAGAAUCACUCAAGUAUCCUAAGGACAUAUUUCUAUUCAAAGACUCUCUUUGAUAAAAAUAAACAAACUGAAUAUUAUUUCUUAAGGAUUGAAAGGUGAUUUACAAUGAAGACUAGACAGAGCUUAUAUAGGCUCGUGCCUUGACUUAGCUAGAAAACUAAAACAAAGAAAGAAGCAAACAAAUAAGGAAAACCGAUAAAACUAGUCGUUGGAAGAUAUAUUGGAUCCAAAAGCUUUCUUCAAGGGAUUUGAUUCUGGUUUUUUAUCUGGACGGUUUGAGGGUGUAGGUAAUCUUCUUGGGAACAUCUUGAAUGCUGAAGACUUGGCCGAAAUCUUUGUAGUCUUGGCUUGAAAAGAGCUGUUGGAAAUUGAUGGGCAAUAAUUCCAAAAAUAGCUCCAAAGAUGGCAAGUCUGAUCUUGCUUGAAUCCGUGUGCUCUGGUGAGGGAUGGUGCAUCUUAAGACUCUUAUACAUGUAAGGAAUGCUACGCUGCAGCUUUGAUGGCUUGGUCGUUGGUCACUUAUUCUCCAAAGUGGGGAUGCAUCCAAUUUAGGAAAGUUCCUAAACAAUAAGAUCCUCCUGAUCAUGUGGGCUCUGGUGCAUGGUAAGAACUCUUCUACUCCUUCUGGAUCGUUGGAUAUACUUAUCAGAUGCUUAGAAACCUCUCCUGGUCGCCAUUGUUUGGUUUGACUAAGAUUGAACCGGUGAGACUCCAAAUUAGGCAAUUGCAGAACUGGAUUGACCGGUUUAGGGAACUGGGCCAUAACUCCAUAUUUCCGUGGAAUUUUCUCCUCAUUCUUGGCUUGUUGGAAAUAUAAUAGAUCCAUCUUGAAUUACAUGCUUUGUUUUGGGUCGGAACGCUUCUUGGUUGGGCUUGAAACGACUUCUAAACUCGGAUGCUCGCAGAUGGACGGGCUGGAGAAUCUCCGGUUUGUAAAAUUCAUAUCUUCUUGGUUAGAGUAGCUUUGAAGAUUAUUCAAACUUUUCUUGACUCCUUGUUGAGUGUAGAAUGCAUGAAAAUUGGUUUGAUGGUAAAAUUCUUCAUGGUUGGUAAGAUACGCCUGUUUUACUGAACACAUAUCCUGGUUAGUCUUUUGGUUAUCUGAUUGGUGCAACUGGUUGGCCUCUGGUUCAGGUACUGAUUUGAUGGCCGCAUCAUACCCUCUCCCUUGAAAAAUUUUUGACCUCGAAACUGGAUAAUCUGCACCAAGAUAGAGCAAGUCAGGUUUCAUCCUCCUUUGAGAUUCUAGGACCUUACCUUGGAAUUUGAUCGAUUUGAUCUUUGAUGGCAUAUCUGGUGGUUCUCCUUUGGGUAGGAACGACAUCACUACUCCUCUGCUUUGGUUUGGCACUCUGAUGGGUGGUGUUUGAUCUCCUGGGUCGUAUGGAAUCAAGGUGUGGCUGUGGACAAUUUCUUGUUUUCUCUUGGCAUAUAAACACCUUGUACUCUCCUUGUGGGGAUCAUACAUAUGAUCUUUAGUCUCUGUUCCUGAAACAAUUUCAACACUUUUGGCAGGAAACAAGUGAAUUAUAUCUGGAUUUGAAAAUUUAUAAAUAGGAAAAGUAAAGUUUAGAUUUACCCAAAUUGUUUCAGCAAGUUGAAGUAUGAUUUGCUCUUUUACAGCUUGUGUACUCUUGUUGUUUCUUGUAACUUCUUCAACGUUUUUUGGACAAGUCAGGUGCUGUCCCUGGUUCUCCUUAAACUUCUCACCAUUGUCUGGUCGUCCAUCAACUUGUCUCAUUCCUGUGUCAAAAUCUUUUGGCAAAGACAAGUGCAUAAUUACAGAAUUUGAAAGCUCUAAGGGAACAAGAAUAUCAUUUCCUUUGGUUGGUUCUUCUUUAAUGGACUCAUCAUGCCCCUUAGUACCUGUAUAAAAACCUUUUGACAUAGACAAGUGCAUUAUACAAGCAUUGGAAACAAACAAAUUAGAUUGAAUUAAACUAUCACUUAUUUUUGAUAUUUCAGUUUGCUCUCCUAGUGAUGUUUCUUUCAAGGUUUUCUUAAAUGGACAAACAGCAGCAAAGUGCCCACGUUUAUGGCAUCUAUAGCAAGUUGGGUUCUUGGGUUUCAUAAGGUCAGAAGACUUACCUUGGUUUGAUGUGUUCUCCUCCUUGGGUUCUAGAGUCUCCUUGAGCUUUUGACACAUCUCUUGUAACUUUUGCAGUUCAGGUAAGGGUGUAGUGAUUGGCUGUGGCUGAACCUUGUUUAAGUGAGCCGGCCUCUUAAACCCUUCUUGGUGUGUAAGUAAACUAGAGGAUAACUUCUUGGGUUCAUGGUCGUGAGCCUUCUUUGGUUUAGGAACAGUAUGCGGUUUUGGUGUAGACAUUACUUUCCUCCUUCUUGCUUGACAAUGGAACUUUGAUGUGGCAUCUACUUGGUCUUGAUACUUCUCUGCAAACUCUUUAUACAUUCUAAAUUUUAGGUCUCUCCAAUCUACCACGGGCUGGUUGUAGGUGCUUGGACUGCUCUCCUUUAGCCACCAUUUGUAAGCAUUCCCCGUGAAGGCUUGGACAGCUUGUGAUAGCUUCUUUUCUUUGUGAAUGUUGUUGGACCGCAGCCACUUCUCCAUGUUAAUUUUCCAAGUCAAAUACACCUCAGGGUUCUUGCUGGAACCUGAAAACACUAGAGUGUUGGAUGUAUAAGCAGAAUCUUUGCUUACUCCCUUCUUUUGGCCGGUUGGUGUUUGUUGAGCUCUCUUUGUGCUGAUGGGUUUAGGUUUGGCUGAUACACUAUAUGGGGCACAUCCAUAGCCUACUGCCUUCUCUGCUCUAUUUGUAAGGUUGUAAUCCUCAUACAACUCGCCCUCCUUUUCCCCACCAUAAUCUGUCCAUGGACUGCUUGGUCUUGACCAAGAGUAUUUGAUUGGUGUGUCUUCUUCAUUCCAUCUACUAAUGGACCUGGAGAAACUUUGCUCAAGAGACUCUGGUUCAUCUCCAACCUCCUCAUGAUGGCGUCCAUAACUGAUUUCAGAAUCAGUUUCAUAACAAGACUGGUGUUCUUGGUCUUCUCCAUCAUCACUUAAGUCAUCCGGUUCUUCUCCCCAAUCUAUUUCUGAGGUAUUGACCUCACUUAGAUCAUCUUCUUCAUACUCCAUAGCCUUAGAAUUGAUGUACCUUGCAAGAUAAAUAUAUCAAACUAGUGGCUUAGAUAGCUGACAGAGCAAAUGAACAAAAUAAGUAAUGAAACUUAUGCAAAACUGAUAGAUAUGCAAAUAAUGGACCAAGUAAACUAAACUAAGUUGAAUAUUUUUUUUGUUUGAAUGCAGGCUCGUGAUAAAUCAAAUAUGGAGUAAUAAUAAAACAAAAGUCAUGAAAAAUAUGGAAGCAAGAAAUAGCACUGAUUUUUUUUUUUUUUUUUUGGUAUGAAAUGCAAACAACUCUAUGAAUGAAUGCAAACAAACCUAAAUGGAUUUUUUUAAUGCACAAUGAUAUGCACGAAAUACACUAUAAUGAGAUGAAAUUAUUCAAGCAAAUAUGAACAAUAAUGAUAAGAAGAAAAUGCAAUGACAAUAUAUUUUUUUUUUACUUUUCUUAGAAUGGAAGGUGCAGAAACAAAAUAUGCAAAUAUGAAAUAUGGUAUGUAAAAUUAGAAAAUAACUGAAAUAUGAUUCUUAUAAUUUUUUUUUGAAUGCAAGAAUGAUAUGCACGAACUAAGGCAGACUGAUAUGAAAGAUGCAAUUUUUUUUUUUUGAAUUUUCUUGAUUUGGGAUGCAAAAACCGAAAAGGGAAACAAUUCUAUAAAACUAAUGCAAAUAAGACUAAAUGAUUUUUUUUUACCAAAGAAAGCACGAAAUAUAUAAAGGAAAACAAGAGAAAUAAAUUUUUAUUUUUGGUUUUUUUUUUAAUUUAUAGAAACAAAGAAAAUGAUUUUUUUAAAUGCAAAUGAACCGAAAAAGGAAACUACGAAAUGAACUAAUGUAAAAAAGACUAAAUGGUUUUUUUAUAUAUAUAUAUAUUUAAAUUCACAAUAUAACUACUAUAUGGUAUGCACGAAAUGGGUAUGAAACAAAUAUGAGAUUUGUUUUUUUUUUAAUUUCAAGGAUGCAACAUAAAUGAGAGAAAAAAAAUCCAAAAUGAGAGAUCUUAUGGUAUGCAAAAUUAAAUAUGGAAAGGGGAGCUGGGGGGAAAUGAAUGCAAACAACUAGACUAAUAUGUCAAAGGAAUUUCGUGGAUCAAACUAACAAAACUCUUUCUCUUUUUAAUUUUCUUUUCUCAAGAACACAAAAUGCAGAAAUUCAAACUUGAAGCAAAUAACAUUUUUUUAUGAUUUUUUUGGUUUUUAUAAAUGAAAACUAGCAAGGAAUGAAAAGAACAAAGAUAGAUGUGGAUUGAUAUCACCUGAUAUAGGAGCUUUAAGCUCUGAUACCAAAUGUUACAGGCUGGGAAGCUGGUCGAUGAGAUGGAUGGGCGAUGGGUCGAUCUUAUCGGUAAGGAUGAAGACCGGACGGAAAGAUGGUGAAGAUGGCCGACUUGCUAUUCCUUUUAACCCAAUCUAACCUGGAAACAAUGAAGAACAAUUAGUUUAUGAAUAUUUAAAAUAAGAACAAGAACUAAACAGAUAAAGGGAUGAAAUAGUUUAUGGAUAGAUGAUUGAAGAUGGAAGAUGGAUAGAUGAUGUUGGAUUGAUGAUGAUUGACUCUCUCAAUCCGUGAGUUUGAUUGACUCUCUCAAUCUGGAAUAACACUGGCUGUUGAAUCACACAAACAACCUAUGCUAGACGAAUCAAUAGAACACAAGAAUCACUCAAGUAUCCUAAGGACAUAUUUCUAUUCAAAGACUCUCUUUGAUAAAAAUAAACAAACUGAAUAUUAUUUCUUAAGGAUUGAAA